This 403-nucleotide ribosomal RNA is filed under the name uncultured bacterium. RNAcentral describes it as "partial 16S ribosomal RNA". It matches the Rfam family "Bacterial small subunit ribosomal RNA", at positions 29 to 526 of the family's 1533-position model. The record is from RNAcentral.
AUUGAACGCUGGCGGCAGGCCUAACACAUGCAAGUCGAGCGAGCGGCGGACGGGUGAGUAAUGUAUGGGGACUGCCCGAUAGAGGGGGAUCACUACUGGAAACGGUGGCUAAUAAAGCAUACUAAAGGAUAACCCAUAUGGGAUUAGCUAGUAGGUGGGGUAAAGGCUCACCUAGGCGACGAUCUCUAGCUGGUCGGAGAGGAUGAUCAGCCCGACUGGGACGGAGACACGGCCCAGAUUCCACCGGAGGCAGCAGUGGGGCAUAUGGCACAAAGGGCGGAAGCCUGAUGCAGAAAUGCCGCGAGUAUGAAGAAGGACUUAGGGGUGUAAAGUACUUUUAGUGGGGAGGCGUUACCCGUAGAAGAAGCCCCGGCUAACUCCGUGCCAGCCGCCGCGGUAAUUC